CGUGGAUGGUGACGACUGUACCUGGCCGACAGGAUGUGAGCUUGACUCGGCACAAUCCGAUGGUAGGAUGGGCUGGGUGAAGCGUUUAGGAAAAGCGCCGACGAGCACACAUGAUGCGCAUGCUGUGCUAGCACCGCAUCUGUACCUCGUAAAUCGCAUAUGUCGGUUGUCCUGCUGCGGUCCUUCGGCGGCGCCCACAUUUUGACGACGUUGUCGUGGCAGUU
This is a non-coding RNA of Caenorhabditis elegans, 224 nucleotides long. Lineage: Eukaryota; Metazoa; Nematoda; Chromadorea; Rhabditida; Rhabditidae. The record is from Ensembl.